GACGAACGCUGGCGGCGUGCCUAACACAUGCAAGUCGAACGAAGCAAGAGUCUUCGGAUUCUUACUUAGUGGCGGACGGGUGAGUAACGCGUGAAUAACCUGCCCUUCAGUGUGGAAUAACGUCUGGAAACGGACGGUAAUACCGCAUAACAUCUUAGUGCCGCAUGACACAGAGAUCAAGGGAGCAAUUCGCUGAAGGAUGGAUUCGCGUCCGAUUAGCCAGUUGGCGGGGUAACGGCCCACCAAAGCGACGAUCGGUAGCCGGACUGAGAGGUCGAACGGCCACAUUGGGACUGAGACACGGCCCAG
Molecule: ribosomal RNA, 309 nt
Filed under: uncultured bacterium
Lineage: Bacteria
Description: bacterial SSU rRNA
Rfam family: Bacterial small subunit ribosomal RNA
Source: RNAcentral